RNAcentral lists this ribosomal RNA (417 nucleotides) under uncultured bacterium. RNAcentral's name for it is "bacterial SSU rRNA". It matches the Rfam family "Bacterial small subunit ribosomal RNA", at positions 355 to 786 of the family's 1533-position model. The record is from RNAcentral.
UGGGGAAUAUUGGGCAAUGGGCGCAAGCCUGACCCAGCAACGCCGCGUGAAGGAAGAAGGCUUUCGGGUUGUAAACUUCUUUUAUCAGGGACGAAACAAAUGACGGUACCUGAUGAAUAAGCCACGGCUAACUACGUGCCAGCAGCCGCGGUAAUACGUAGGUGGCAAGCGUUAUCCGGAUUUACUGGGUGUAAAGGGCGUGUAGGCGGGACUGCAAGUCAGAUGUGAAAAUUAUGGGCUCAACCCAUAACCUGCAUUUGAAACUGUAGUUCUUGAGUGAUGGAGAGGCAGGCGGAAUUCCGUGUGUAGCGGUGAAAUGCGUAGAUAUACGGAGGAACAUCAGUGGCGAAGGCGGCCUGCUGGACAUUAACUGACGCUGAGGCGCGAAAGCGUGGGGAGCAAACAGGAUUAGAUACC